CGCCUUCAAUUUUUUACCUUUUUUUUUUAUCAGAGUUAAAUAACACACAAGCUCAAUGAUGGAACACACUACCAUCAUAAAUUUAGCAAGGCGCGCCAGAAAAAAGAUAGUUCAAUCGCCAAUCAAGAUAGACAACAGGCUUAUGAACCAUUAGAUAUUUAAUAAUAUAACACUUGCUACCCAUGGGAAAUGGGGUGAUAGUUCUCAAGAUAUAGUCUACACAUUCCAUAUCUACAACUGUCAUCAUCAUUCAAAAAAAAGAAGAAAAAAAAUGGAAACAUAAAGGUUAAUGGGACCCCAAACAUAAUUACCAACCAAGAAGGCCAUGUUGCUUCCAUCAAAACCCUCUUUCCCUCUCACUCAUAUUUGAUGGUGCUGUAGCUGCAAGAGUCUAGAAUAUGCCCCAUCGACUCGGCUAAUUAAUUCGGAAUGGCUGCCUUGCUCCACAAUCCGACCGUCUUGCACUACUCCAAUACUAUCCACACCUCUAAUGGUUGAUAAACGGUGAGCUACAAGAACUGUGGUGCGACCUCUCAUUAACCUCUCAAGUGCUUCUUGUAGCACACAUUCUGAUUCAGCAUCAAGAGCGCUUGUAGCCUCAUCUAGUAAAAGUAUUGCUGGAUCCUUAAGAACAGCCCUUGCAAUUGCAAUUCUCUGUUUUUGUCCUCCAGAGAGCUGAACUCCUCUUUCACCAACUGGUGUUUUGUACCCAUCAGGCAAUGCACUAACGAACCCAUGCACAUUUGCUGCACGUGCUGCCUCGAUUACUUCAGCUUCGGUUGCACCAUCCUUUCCAUAGGCAAUGUUAUCAAAAAUGCUUGCUGCAAAGAGGGCAGGUUCUUGUUGCACUAAUCCAAUUUUAAGCCUCAGGGACUUCAAAUUCAAUCUUCGAAUAUCCUUCCCAUCAAUCAUAACCUUUCCAGCAGUUGGAUCAUAAAAUCGCUCAAUCAGUGCAAUGACAGAACUCUUUCCACACCCACUAGCUCCCACAAGGGCCUGGCUUUGGCCAGCACGUAUUCUAAGGCUAAGGUCUUUGAACACUGGUACAUCAGGUCGUGAUGGGUAUGCAAAAUCAACAUGCCUAAGCUCAAUCUCCCCACGCAUUGAUUCAACAGGCUCAGCCUCAGGAUCAUCUGGAUCAAUCCUGGUGGAACGGUCCAAAACUGAAAAUACAGAACCGACAGAUUCACCACCUCUUAUAAUCUCUGGAGCAAGGCUAACAGUUUCUGCUACUGAAUUAGCUGUGAUCACCAGUACUACAAAAACCUUAAUAACCUUUGAGAAUGUGGAGACCCCUUUGCCCACAAGGUGAGCACCAUACCAGAGGAUGAGAGCUUCAGAUGCAUAGAGAGCAAGCUGAGAGAGGCCAAAUAGGAGGCCAGAUGUUUGGCUCCUGUGUAGGCUGCGAAGCUGUGGAACACGAAGCUCGUAGCAGAACAGAGAGAGGAUUUUAUCUUGGGCAUUAAAAGCUGCAACAGUUCUAAUAUUGCUCACUCCCUCACCAGCAAUCAUGCUAGUCUUUGCAUGGGCCUUGGCUGUGUCUCCAGCAAACCCUUUGAGAGAGAGUUGCUGUGUAACAAAGAAAAUAACAUAAUCAAUCGUCCUGGAAAUUGAAUCACCUAUGAAUUUGCUAAUUAAAAUGCAAUGCAUCAGAGAAUUUUAUGCCAAUUAAGUACAUAGACAUGCUAAUUGGUGGAGCACCUUGCAUAAAGUUUCAAUAAUGUAUUCUCAUUCCAUUUCUAGGUAUUGUCCAAGGAGCUUAGAUCUGUCAAAUUAAGAUGUUAAAACAAUAAGACCCAUUAAGAAAUGAUGGUUUAAGCAUGAUUGGCACAAGAACUUCCGAGUUUUGCACUGGUCAACUGAAAAGUCUCUUCCUAAAAGAGACAAGCAUCCAUGUAAAGAUUGUCACUGAAUCUAGAAUUUUGGUUCUUAUUUAUUUCUAUCAUUCGCGUAAGGAACCUUGAUGUCCUUGAGUGAUCAAUAGUUGGUAGCAUCUAAAAAAUGAUCGUACGCUAACUCUAUAAAGACUGCAAGGACCCACAAGGAGUGGAGCCAAUCAUGCUAGAGUCCACUCCUACACAUAUAAGGCACAUAUAGGACUGUGACCACUGCAUAUUUGAGGUACAUCCUCGAGCAAUAAAUUUAUCCACUGUGCAUAUCGCAUGGGCAAAUUUACAUACAACGACAGAACUGUGGACCUAUCAUACCUACACAGUUGAAAAACUAAUACAGAUUCUGCAAACCCCAUAAAUUCAAGACUCACGCUCAAAACGACAAGACCACAGAGAUCAACACGACAAUAAUGCAAGAAAAGGGUGUGACUCAGCCACUGCCAUGCUACUAUUGACUCUGUCACCCAUCCGACACUCCAAAGAAAACACCAAAAUACCCAGAAAAAUUUUUAAAAAGAAAAGCUGCAGAAGAUAAUAAUCUGUGCCAAUAAAUGUGUCAUAAAUAAUGUGAUUCACGGGCCAAGAAUCCCUUAGAAACACUCGCUCGGUGGUGGCAUCCAUCUAGGAGUAUCAUACAAUGUAAUUGGUAAACACUGAAAACUCGUAUAUCUAGAACUGAUAUACAUAUAUACACUGCAUAGAUUGAGAGAAAAUAAAGUCCAGAGAAAGAAACAACAAACAAGACAUGAGAUUUGACUGGGAUUAAAAAUCCAAGAAAAGGUCAUGGACUCGAGAAGGCAUAAACUAGAACACUUUCUCAGUGGCAUGGAAAUUGAUGGGUUUAGGCAUGGAAUCUUGUAUUUUACAAUAGUUCACUGUUAUUCACGAGCUCUAAAAUAUAUUAACAUAUAUUUAUGUUGGGGUUUUUGAGGAGUUGUAGGGAGCAUGUGCAGUUCAUACAUGAGUGACACGACGUAUUUUCUUAGCUUUUGUCGUUUAAUGGUAGGAGGUUAGAUUCCAGAGAUUAAAAAAAAAAAAAGGAGAUGCAGAGAUCCGACACCGCUGUAGAAAAAUUAAUGAAAUAGGGAGUUUCUUAUUUACCCUUUUGCCCUUGCAGAACCCAAGAAAAUAUUAAUUGCCCUUUAAGGCUGGGUAUUGGUUUUGGACCAAACCCAUUACCCCACCUAACAUGGUUAUCAGAAUGACAAGCAAAAAAGAAAAAGAAAAGAAUGCUUGCGCAUUUUUGCAGCACAGCAUGGUUCUAAACUUACCUGGGCAAAGUUGGCAAGGACAAGAAGAGGGAAGGUAGCUAAAAUGAGAAGGGAGACCCUCCAUUCCACUAUGAAAGCAACUAUGAAUGAAGUGAGGAGAGAGGUCAUGUUUUGUAGUAUCACAGAUAUUCUCUCGGCUAUUGCAGAUUUUACAUCAGCAGCAUCCGUAGCUAAUCGAGCUGCAACAAGGCUCGAGUUGUGCUCUUCUUCAUCGAACCAUCCGACUUCAUUCCUCAGAAUUGCUGCCAGCAUCAUUCUUCUCACUCUUGUAGUAAGGUUCUCUCCCAUAAUACUGAAGAAGUAAUGCUGAAUCAAAUAUGCAACAACAGCAUAAAGGCCAGCACCAAUGUAGAUAAAAACAUACUCCUUCGUCUUCCUUUCCAUAGAGGCAGGAUUUCUGUAAUAAAAAACCUCAAUCAUGUUGCUCAUCACUAUGGCAAAGGUUGGACCAAUAAACCCAGAAAGCACAGAUCCUACAGCACCCAUGAUAGAGUAUGGCCAUUCAGGAGCAUUUAGCUUGAGUAGUCUGCAGAAAUAGCCAUCUGGUGCUGGAUUUUUACGGUCAGUUUCAGCAUUUGAGAUCAUUUCAAUCCGGCCAUCAGCACCUGUACUAUAUGAAUAGCUCAAGUUCCGUAAACUGCCAGACCGGAGGCUCAAAGAUUUUGUUGAAAGUGAAUGACUUAAACGUGAUGAGCGAGAUCGUCUAGUUGAUGGGUUUGCAAAAUCUCUAUUUCUCACCAUUUCUUGGAAUCUGAUUAAUGAAGCAUAUGCUCCUCCUUUGGAAAUCAGCUCUUCAUGGGUUCCUGUCUCAACAACUUGCCCUUGUUGAAUAACUGCAAUUGUAUCAACAUUUCUAAUGGUGGAGAGUCGAUGUGCGACCACUACAGUUGUUCUUCCAACCAUGAGACGGUCUAAUGCUUCUUGAACUAUGCUUUCAGAGCCUGCAUCAAGGGCACUGGUAGCUUCAUCCAGAAGGAGGAUCUUUGGGUUCUUCAACAUAGCUCUAGCAAUGGCAAUUCUCUGUUUUUGGCCACCAGAGAGUUGGACUCCUCGCUCUCCAACCUGAGUGUUGUACCCAUUAGGAAGUAAAGUAAUGAAGCUAUGAGCAUUUGCAGCAGAGGUAGCAGCUUCCACUUCAUCCAUUGCGGCAUCAGGCUUUCCAUACAGUAUGUUCUCAAGUAUGGUGGUCGCAAAGAGUGCGGGUUCUUGGUUUACCAACCCAAUCUGAUCACGUAACCACCUAAGUUGAAGGGUCUUUAUGUCCACAUUAUCAAGCAAAACUUGUCCCUGAUUAGGAUCAUAAAACCUCUCUAUCAGAGAGACAAUGGUACUUUUCCCUGACCCACUACCACCAACAACAGCAACAGUCUUUCCAGCAGGAAAGAAGAUUGAGAAAUCACGGAAUAUGAUAACAUCUGGCCUUGAUGGGUAACUGAAAGUUACAUCCUUGAAUUCUAUAUCCCCAUUAACCUCGGGCAAGCACUUCCCAUCUGAGGGAUCUUGGAUUAUGGUAGGCUUUUGCUUAAUAAUUUCCAUCAACUUGUAUCCAGCUGCUUUACCUUUGCUAAAUGCCCCAAGAUUUGAAAAUGACUGGCCCAAACUCAUGCCACCAACAAUGGCAGAGAAAAUCGCCGUGAAUGCUUUUCCUCCAUCAGUCUGUCCAUUCCUAAUAAAAACACCAGCAUACCAGAAUACAAGGGCCCAUGACAUGCAUGCUAUUCCAUAGGUACAUCCCAACCCCAAACCUUUGGCCAUCCCAGCCUUGUAUCCAAGCUUUAAAGUAUUUUGUAUUGCAUCUGAAUAGGAAUUUAAGGCUUUGCUCUCCCCAACGUAAGAGUAAACUGUCCGAACUUGUGCAAUGGCCUAUGCAAGAAAAUAGAUAAUUUAGAUAGCCAAAAAGAAUGAAGAACAUAAAAAAACUAGUGCAGUUCAUACAUUGCAUUAUUUUAUAACUAUGGUCUUAUGAUAAAUUUGUCAACAAUUUUUUGGUCUAACAGGCAAAAUUCAAUUAAAUAAUAAUAAUAAUUAUAAAGAAAAACACUAAAGUGUAGAAAAAGCUGCUGCCCAUUUCUAUAGUUGCACAUGCAAAGCCAUCCAAUGAUACACAAAGUGCCACUUCCAACCAAAGCAUUGCACGCAGCUUUCCAAUACUGCUCGGCAAUUAUGCCGGCUUGCGCAUAGGAUUCGCGGCUCUUGGAUGUGAGGCCAGUGAGGGUAUAUGCGUACAAGCCACCAGCAAAAGCUAUUCCAGGUAUCACUGCCACACUUAGUAAUGCUAGCCUCCAUGCUGAUACAAAACCAACCACUAGCCCAGCUAGAAAUGUUGACAGAUAGUGGAUAAAGUUCCCCACCUUCUCGCUAAUGGCAUCUUGGACAAGAAGAGUGUCUGUUGAGACGCUAAAAACAAUAUCACCAGUUCUUGCAUCUGUGUCAAAGAACCCAACAUCUUGUUUCAACACUGCCUCUAGAUAUUUCUUCCGCAGUGUGCCUACUUGCCUCUCUCCGGUGUACAUCCAGCAAGCAAUCUCUGCGUAUGAUGAUAGGCACACAACAAGGCCAAGAUAAACAAAAUAUAGCGCAUACUUGGAGACUUCAUGGGUCAUUUUCGGCAAAUCAGAUUGGUUCUUGCCAAACCCAUUAACCAUUUCACCAAAUAACAAGAAAAAUACUGGCAUUGAAGAGCCAUGAAUAAUGGCUCCUAAGCUACCAGAGAUCAUAAGCAGCCAAUCAUACUUAUCAGCAAAUGAGAAAAGAUGGUAAAAUGGCAAGCUUUGUUCUUUCUUCUUCUCUGCCUCUGGCAAUGAUCCUUUAGUACUAGUAGUAGUAGUAUCUACAGUCUCUGCUGCCAUUUUAGCCCCCCAAAAACCAAGCUGCUAUCCUCCCUCCAAAGGCCAGGAAAUCAAAUGAAACUUUGAUAAACAAUUGGGUUGACACAAGAAAGAUUCUAAAGCGUCAGUCUUGAGUGAAAGCAGCUUGUCGGUAUAUUGCCAUUGAACGAGAGAGAUCUGAGUUUUGAGAAAAGGUGCGCAUGUAUACGAAUUGGAGAGUGAAAAAAAAAAAGGAAUGCCAACGGAGGCACUGAGAGAGGGACUGUGACAGUUUAAAGUGAGUGUAUGUUGGACUAGUGGUCAAAGGGUAUGCAGAGAGAGAGAGAGAGAGA
RNAcentral lists this unclassified non-coding RNA (6323 nucleotides) under Hevea brasiliensis (rubber tree). Lineage: Eukaryota; Viridiplantae; Streptophyta; Magnoliopsida; Malpighiales; Euphorbiaceae. The record is from RNAcentral.